UGUUAAUUGAGAUUGUCUAAAUAAUGUUAGGUUGUACUUACUGUCAAGAGUUAAAACAAGGGCUGGGGUUGUGGCUCAGCAGUGGAGCGCUUGCCUAGCACAUUCAAGGUACUGGGUUCAAUCCUCAGCACCACAUAAAAAAUAAAUAGGUAUUUUAGAAAGUUAAAACAAAAUGAAAUCUAUGUCCCUACAAAUUUCAAAUAGAUAUAUUUACUGGGUAUGAUGGCACACGGUGGGAUGAUCAUUAGAGCCCAACUUGAGCAAUACCUUGAGACCCAGUAUCAAAAACAAACAAGAACUAUCCCAGUUUUAGCACUUACAGUCUCAAAUCCUGGUGAUCCUGCUUAAUCCUAGAAAACUGGAACUACCAGUUUCCUUAAUCCUGGUGGUGUUUUUUGGAGCUGGCUACAAAAGCAGAAGAACUUCUUAUAUUUCAAAAUCCAUCAACAGUAGAAUUGAGAAGCUCCCACCUAACCUUUCAUUGGAAGUGAAUAACCUACAACAUAGUCACAUGAUUCUGCUUUGUGUGUAGGGAAUAAAUACAGGAGCAUUCCACCACUCAGCUACAUUUCCAGACCUUUUUAUUUUCUUGAGCCAGGAUCUUGCUAAGUUGCUGAGGCUAGCCUUGAACUUGAGAUCCUCCUGCCUCAACUUCCCAAGUCACUGGAAUUACAGGUAUGCACCACUCUGCCUGGCUUGUAAUGACAUGCUAAAAGGUAAAUAUUAAGAGAAGAACCUAAUAGAAUUCUAUAAAAUAGAUGCUGU
Molecule: long non-coding RNA, 765 nt
Filed under: Marmota monax (woodchuck)
Lineage: Eukaryota; Metazoa; Chordata; Mammalia; Rodentia; Sciuridae
Source: RNAcentral